This 480-nucleotide ribosomal RNA is filed under the name uncultured organism. Its description in RNAcentral is "bacterial SSU rRNA". It matches the Rfam family "Bacterial small subunit ribosomal RNA", at positions 28 to 507 of the family's 1533-position model. The record is from RNAcentral.
GACGAACGCUGGCGGUAUGCUUAACACAUGCAAGUCGAACGAGACGAGAUGGAAUGAUCCUUCGGGAGAAUGAAAUCUUAGAAAGUGGCGAACGGGUGAGUAACGCGUGGGUAACCUGCCCUAUGGAAAGGAAUAGCCUCGGGAAACUGGGAGUAAUGCCUUAUAAGAUACGUUUGUCGCAUGGCAGAUGUAUUAAACGCUCCGGUGCCAUAGGAUGGACCCGCGUCCCAUUAGCUAGUUGGUGAGAUAACAGCUCACCAAGGCGACGAUGGGUAACCGGUCUGAGAGGGCGAACGGUCACACUGGAACUGAGACACGGUCCAGACUCCUACGGGAGGCAGCAGUGGGGAAUAUUGCGCAAUGGGGGCAACCCUGACGCAGCAAUACCGCGUGAGUGAAGAAGGUUUUCGGAUCGUAAAGCUCUGUUAUUGGGGAAGAAAAAAGACGGUACCCAAGGAGAAAGUCCCGGCUAACUACGUG